CUGCUGCUGCUGCUGCUGCUGCUGCUGCUGCUGCUGCUGCUGCUGCUGCUGCUGCUGCUGCUGCUGCUGCUGCUGCUGCAUCCGGGAUUCACCUCAUCCACACAGGACGGGAUCCUGGAUUGAUCACGGUCUUCCAAGAACUGUCAAUAUUUAAGUCUGGAUGGAGGCGGCACAGGCGCCGCGCUAAUUCAAUGGAAAUUCAGCUGCAACUCCUGAUGCAGAAGUUACGCCUCCCGAAGCGCAAAGACUCCCAUUAAAGCUUCUAAAGUCUCCAAUCAACCAACAUGAGUGAUCCCUCUCUUUUGACAUUACUCCACUCGAUUGCCCGUUUACCCCCGAGUCAAGUUUGAGGCGGGCAUGAAGUGUAAAAGAGGUGGGCCAUGUCAUAUCCGCUCAGUGUGCAUGGGAUUGUUGGCAUGCACGGCGGUGAUCAUUGUUCAGGGAGAACAAUUCCUGCUCAGAGCAGGCAGGGAAAAGUGAGGAGAACGGUUGGGAACUGGGGCUGAUGAAACGGUUUGUUUGCAGGUUUUUCCUCAUCAGGAAAUAUGAAAGUAAAGUAUAUCACAAGCACAUUUUUUGUUUGUUUGUUUUUAAGUCACAUUUGUCCACAGAUAAGAUUCCACCAUUAAAGUUGCUAAAUUUGAGUAACAUUUCUCUCUCCUUCCUUGGACACAAAGGCAAUUUCAGUACCAUAUAAUGCAUAUUAAGAUAUUGAAACACUUAUAUAUUAACUAUUCUACACUGAUUAGACAAAAUAUUAGAAUUGAAUAAGUACAAUUGAUGAAGCACUUUGCAUAUAUUUUCUUUGGAGGCUUUCUGAGUUGAAUGAUUUAAGCUCAACAGUCAGCAUGAAGAUUAGUGACUCGGCGAGUUAACUAGUUAGCACGGUUCUUUUUCUUAUCUGUUCUCCACGGUGGGAAAGAAGAACAAAAAGCUAUUUUUUUGUGUAUAAAGAAUGAAAUAUUGCUGAUACAAUUUAGUAAAUCUUUUCUAAAAAGAUUUUCCCUAACAACAAAGUUAUGCCACUUAUUUAUCCGCACGUUAGGAUGUUCAACAGUAGCUUUAGCACUGUUGCUAAACUACUUCAAGAUGGAUACAAACUUAAAUCGUUGUUGCAGUGCACUAUUUCAACCGCAAAUCUCCAGGUAAUUGUUAAUUUUGAUAUCUUCAUAUAAUACCUAUAUAUAUAAAUAUAUAAUAAAAUUUGACUGACUCAACGUCUUCACUUCCGUUUUUCUCGAAUGUUUAAGUAUAAAUUUUAUUAAAGUAACACAAUAUCUGUAUAAUUCAACCACAAUUUUACACUGCAAAAACAAACUAAUAUAGGUGACCCAAAUCUACAAAUAUUAAUGGGUGUGAUUUAUUUAAUUUUUAUGUGAGCUUAAGCAUUUAAUGGAUGGAUCUGUUGUACUAAUGAGAGAGUUCUGCUUUUGAACUCCAUGUUGACUGAAAAUUAAUUAUCUUGAAUCUUUCCGCAGAAACAAAUUGAAUCUCUAAAACAUUGAGAUCAGAAUCAGAAUGUUUUUAUUUGUAUUGUACCGAAGCGAUAAUACAAUUAAUUUAAGCACAUUAUAAGAAUUUGAUGUUUGCAGUUUUAGGAAAAUGUAUUUUCCAGUCCAAUGACGUAAGUCAACUCUGAAGUGUAUUACAGCUAAGUAGUAGGCUACACGUUUAUUGCACACAAAUAAAAUUAAUCUCACUGACCUAAAAUGAACGUCACCGUUUCAGUGAUUAAUCAGGCAUUUACCUAACUCUCACAUGGUUGCUAUAGGCAAUAGGUUAACACUGUAUCCUGUACAUUAUGGGGUCUCAGGUGUGUGUGUUUUCAUCGAGCCAAUCAGAGGACUCACCAGCCAAUCAGAGGUGUUGUCCGAAAUCAACCGUCCCGUAACUGGAAACUAUAGACAAGUCUACUUAUUUACGGCCGAGCAGAGCCCGUCCGAUCUGAUUAUGGUCGGUAUAUUGGAUCAAUAACUGAUGUCUGAGAGAACCGAGAAGGGUGGAGUGCAGGGACAGGAGGGUGCAACAGGUCAUUCGUUAGAAAGGAGGAGCCAUUGAACUCUUUAUUAUUAAUUAUUAUUAUUAUUAUUAUUAUUAUUAUUAUUAUUAUUAUUAUUAUUAUUAUUAUUCUUGUUAUUAUUGUUGUUGUUGUAGGAGUAGUCCCCAAGUCACUAACCAAAAGUGCACAAUU
Molecule: long non-coding RNA, 2191 nt
Organism: Gambusia affinis (western mosquitofish)
Lineage: Eukaryota; Metazoa; Chordata; Actinopteri; Cyprinodontiformes; Poeciliidae
Exons: 4
Source: RefSeq, a predicted model, not a curated record